RNAcentral lists this ribosomal RNA (497 nucleotides) under uncultured bacterium. RNAcentral describes it as "partial 16S ribosomal RNA". It matches the Rfam family "Bacterial small subunit ribosomal RNA", at positions 28 to 507 of the family's 1533-position model. The record is from RNAcentral.
GACGAACGCUGGCGGCGUGCCUAGUACAUGCAAGUUGAGCGAUGAAGAUUGGUGCUUGCACCAAUUUGAAGAGCAGCGAACGGGUGAGUAACGCGUGGGGAAUCUGCCUUUGAGCGGGGGACAACAUUUGGAAACGAAUGCUAAUACCGCAUAAUAACUUUAAACAUAAGUUUUAAGUUUGAAAGAUGCAAUUGCAUCACUCAAAGAUGAUCCCGCGUUGUAUUAGCUAGUUGGUGAGGUAAAGGCUCACCAAGGCGAUGAUACAUAGCCGACCUGAGAGGGUGAUCGGCCACAUUGGGACUGAGACACGGCCCAAACUCCUACGGGAGGCAGCAGUAGGGAAUCUUCGGCAAUGGACGAAAGUCUGACCGAGCAACGCCGCGUGAGUGAAGAAGGUUUUCGGAUCGUAAAACUCUGUUGGUAGAGAAGAACGUUGGUGAGAGUGGAAAGCUCAUCAAGUGACGGUAACUACCCAGAAAGGGACGGCUAACUACGUG